This 497-nucleotide ribosomal RNA is filed under the name uncultured bacterium. RNAcentral describes it as "partial 16S ribosomal RNA". It matches the Rfam family "Bacterial small subunit ribosomal RNA", at positions 28 to 507 of the family's 1533-position model. The record is from RNAcentral.
GAUGAACGCUGGCGGCGUGCCUAAUACAUGCCAGUCGAGCGAACAGACGAGGAGCUUGCUCCUCUGACGUUAGCGGCGGACGGGUGAGUAACACGUGGAUAACCUACCUAUAAGACUGGGAUAACUUCGGGAAACCGGAGCUAAUACCGGAUAAUAUAUUGAACCGCAUGGUUCAAUAGUGAAAGACGGUUUUGCUGUCACUUAUAGAUGGAUCCGCGCCGCAUUAGCUAGUUGGUAAGGUAACGGCUUACCAAGGCAACGAUGCGUAGCCGACCUGAGAGGGUGGGCGGCCACAAUGGAGCUGAGAAACGGGACAGACGAAUGCGGGAGGCAGCAGUGGGGAAUGGUCCGCAAUGGGCGAAAGCCUGAAGGAGCAAGUAAGCAGGAGUGAUGAAGGUAUUCGGAACGUAAAACCCUGUUAAUGGGGAAGAAAAAAUGUGUAAGUAACUAUGCACGGCUUGACGGUACCUAAUAAGAAAGCAACGGAUAACUACGUG